Molecule: long non-coding RNA, 1137 nt
Filed under: Sus scrofa (pig)
Lineage: Eukaryota; Metazoa; Chordata; Mammalia; Artiodactyla; Suidae
Description: lncRNA (ENSSSCG00030012144.1)
Source: RNAcentral
GGGCCCACCCAAGGGUGGCAGCGGGGAGCCCAGGACCUUCCAUGCAUUUUUUGCCCAUAUCCCAGGAAAUGCCCAUUGAGGCAGCCCCUGGACUUCACUUUGAUAGAAUGGCGUGUGGGGAAUAUCAGGAAAGACGGAAUUAGCAGCAGCUCAGAGGAGCAGAGCAGCCUGGCAAGAGAGAGACAAAAAAGACCACUGCAUUUGGCUCCUCUGGCAACUGUACCCAACCUGGGGCCUCCCAGCUGCUCCCAAGGAGGAAAGACAGCCCGCAGACUCAGUGAACUCUGGACACAGCUGUGCUGGAGAUUUUCACGUUGCUGUCGGACCAGGAGCUUGCAGGAGGCAGUUCCGGAGUGCAGAUGGCCUCAACUGGGAGAGGGAGAGGGAUCCUGCCACGUGGGGCACGGAAACGAGCCUCGGGUUCUUUAUUUCUGAAAGAGUCAAGGUGACAUCUACAGAGAGUUCCCCUUCCUUCUCACAGAGAAGGCCGGUGGUGACGCCUGGCGGUGGAGAGAAGAACAGCCGCGACUUCUGCUGCAGGAACUUCUAUCAAGAAGCUCGUAGGCACACUGGGCACCACUGAGGGUGGUGGGGAGUUUGGGGGGCGGGGGUGGGAGGCAGAAACUUUCAGGGGGUCUGGGAGACUGAAGGGCUUCCCAGAGCAGCACUGACCUGGGCUUCUGUUAGGGAGAUGGAAUCAAGACCUUCCGAUUCCAAAUCUGAUCAGAAAGGGUCUGGGGGGUGGGGGUGGGGUGAAAAUGAGGAGCACUGAGGGAGAGGUAGGGUUGGGGUGGCCCCAUGAGACACCAGAGAGUUCAGGAGGAAAGGUUCCCUAAUGUACUCCCUGCAGCCCAGCUCAUUUGGGGUCAUUAUUCCCCUUUGGGGCCCCAGACACCCCUCCCUGCUAAGAUUUCAAUAUAAGGCAGGGCAUGGGAGGGGGGCAAUGAGCCUGGGAAGGGCCACAGUCUGAAAGAGACCUCAGUGGAGGCAACUCCGAGAAAGUGUCAGCUGUGGCCAUGAAGAGGCAGCAGGAAGGAAGCCACUAGAGAUGCUUUUCUGACCCCCGUUCUGCCCUAAACCACCGUGGCUGCCCCCACCUGCCUCGCGCAGACUCAGUAGCCCCUGCUUCCGAGCCUU